CUUGAACAACAUGUUAGAAUGCAUAAACUUUCGGUAUCAACAAAAAAGAGCAGAAUAUCUUGCUGAAGCGAAGUGCAACAUCCAUAUGAAAGCAUGGUCUCGCUCUCACAAAGCUAGCAUCAACCCACACCUUGGACAAUCUGUUAAACUUACUGCUGGAACAUAGAAAGUCUUCUGUGCUUUGCAAUGGCGUGUAGAAAAGUAUGAAGCCAGUUGGAUUCUUCUCUUAGUUAUCAUUAAAACAUUCUCGUGAGUAACAACUCGAAGAGAUCUCUGAUGGUUCAAAGUCAAAACACUGUCACAUAAGUCUAGGAAUCAUGCACUGGUAAAACCACACUAGAGCAUGAUUGUGAAUGACCAAUAUCAAAAUGUUACAAUUGAGUGUUUUUGAAGUAUAAACUUGUAUGAUUCAAUUUACCAGUCAGCUAUCUUGCUCAUUUGGUGUCAGAAUUGCCAUUGUAUUUUUUUCAAUUUCAUUCCCUAAUGAGAACAUUUCUCCAACCUAAUGUUUUCAGCAUCA
Molecule: long non-coding RNA, 520 nt
Filed under: Elaeis guineensis (African oil palm)
Lineage: Eukaryota; Viridiplantae; Streptophyta; Magnoliopsida; Arecales; Arecaceae
Description: long non-coding RNA (EGUI_LNC032770)
Source: RNAcentral